RNAcentral lists this ribosomal RNA (253 nucleotides) under uncultured prokaryote. RNAcentral's name for it is "partial 16S ribosomal RNA". It matches the Rfam family "Bacterial small subunit ribosomal RNA", at positions 524 to 776 of the family's 1533-position model. The record is from RNAcentral.
UACGAGGGGUCCUAGCGUUGUUCGGAAUCAUUGGGCGUAAAGAGUCUGUAGGCGGUCUUGUAAGUCAGGUGUGAAAGCCCCGGGCUCAACCCGGGAAGUGCAUCUGAUACUGCUUGACUUGAGUGUUGGAGAGGGCAGUGGAAUUCCUGGUGUAGUGGUGAAAUACGUAGAUAUCAGGAGGAACACCGGUGGCGAAGGCGGCUGCCUGGCCAAACACUGACGCUGAGAGACGAAAGCGUGGGGAUCAAACAGG